UACGUAGGGGGCAAGCGUUGUCCGGAAUCAUUGGGCGUAAAGCGCGUGUAGGCGGUUCGAUAAGUCUGCUGUGAAAGUCCAGGGCUCAACCCUGGGAUGCCGGUGGAUACUGUCGGGCUAGAGUACGGAAGAGGCGAGUGGAAUUCCCGGUGUAGCGGUGAAAUGCGCAGAUAUCGGGAGGAACACCAAUUGCGAAGGCAGCUCGCUGGGACGUCACUGACGCUGAGACGCGAAAGCGUGGGGAGCAAACAGGG
This 254-nucleotide ribosomal RNA is filed under the name uncultured bacterium. RNAcentral's name for it is "partial 16S ribosomal RNA". It matches the Rfam family "Bacterial small subunit ribosomal RNA", at positions 524 to 777 of the family's 1533-position model. The record is from RNAcentral.